Molecule: non-coding RNA, 141 nt
Organism: Nematostella vectensis (starlet sea anemone)
Lineage: Eukaryota; Metazoa; Cnidaria; Anthozoa; Actiniaria; Edwardsiidae
Source: Rfam
UGACGAUGCAAAGCGUGAUCCUCUGAGCGCGAAGCACGUCGAGGGCAUUGCCUUGAUUGGUAGGUCGCCACCGACGAUUGAUGACCGUUCUUCCCUGCCCAUUUGUGGCUGGGAGGAGGAGGAUCACGCAUUCAGAGUGGG